UACGUAGGGACCAAGCGUUGUCCGGAAUCAUUGGGCGUAAAGAGCGUGUAGGCGGCUUGUUAAGUCUUGCGUGAAAUCUCGGGGCUCAACCCCGAGCGGUCGUGAGAAACUGGCAGGCUAGAGUGCGGGAGAGGAGAGUGGAAUUCCUGGUGUAGCGGUGAAAUGCGCAGAUAUCAGGAGGAACACCGGUGGCGAAGGCGGGUCUCUGGGCCGUAACUGACGCUGAGGAGCGAAAGCAUGGGGAGCGAACAGG
This 253-nucleotide ribosomal RNA is filed under the name uncultured bacterium. Its description in RNAcentral is "partial 16S ribosomal RNA". It matches the Rfam family "Bacterial small subunit ribosomal RNA", at positions 524 to 776 of the family's 1533-position model. The record is from RNAcentral.